GAGGAAUAUUGGUCAAUGGACGUAAGUCUGAACCAGCCAAGUAGCGUGCAGGAUGACGGCCCUAUGGGUUGUAAACUGCUUUUGUAUGGGGAUAAAGUCAAUCACGUGUGAUUGUUUGCAGGUACCAUACGAAUAAGGACCGGCUAAUUCCGUGCCAGCAGCCGCGGUAAUACGGAAGGUUCGGGCGUUAUCCGGAUUUAUUGGGUUUAAAGGGAGCGUAGGCCGGAGAUUAAGUGUGUUGUGAAAUGUAGACGCUCAACGUCUGACUUGCAGCGCAUACUGGUUUCCUUGAGUACGCACAACGUUGGCGGAAUUCGUCGUGUAGCGGUGAAAUGCUUAGAUAUGACGAAGAACUCCGAUUGCGAAGGCAGCUGACGGGAGCGCAACUGACGCUUAAGCUCGAAGGUGCGGGUAUCGAACAGGAUUAGAUACCCUGGUAGUCCGCACAGUAAACGAUGGAUGCCCGCUGUUGGUACCUGGUAUCAGCGGCUAAGCGAAAGCAUUAAGCAUCCCACCUGGGGAGUACGCCGGCAACGGUG
This 539-nucleotide ribosomal RNA is filed under the name uncultured bacterium. RNAcentral describes it as "bacterial SSU rRNA". It matches the Rfam family "Bacterial small subunit ribosomal RNA", at positions 356 to 896 of the family's 1533-position model. The record is from RNAcentral.